UAGGUAUGGAACCAUCCACGAUCUCAAA
Molecule: small RNA, 28 nt
Filed under: Bombyx mori (domestic silkworm)
Lineage: Eukaryota; Metazoa; Arthropoda; Insecta; Lepidoptera; Bombycidae
Description: ovarian small RNA-22749
Source: RNAcentral